GAUGAACGCUGGCGGCGUGCCUAAUACAUGCAAGUCGAGCGAACAGAUCCGGAGCUUGCUCCUUUGACGUUAGCGGCGGACGGGUGAGUAACACGUGGGUAACCUACCUAUAAGACUGGAAUAACUCCGGGAAACCGGGGCUAAUGCCGGAUAACAUUUAGAACCGCAUGGUUCUAAAGUGAAAGAUGGUUUUACUAUCACUUAUAGAUGGACCCGCGCCGUAUUAGCUAGUUGGUAAGGUAACGGCUUACCAAGGCAACGAUACGUAGCCGACCUGAGAGGGUGAUCGGCCACACUGGAACUGAGACACGGUCCAGACUCCUACGGGAGGCAGCAGUAGGGAAUCUUCCGCAAUGGGCGAAAGCCUGACGGAGCAACGCCGCGUGAGUGAUGAAGGUCUUCGGAUCGUAAAACUCUGUUAUUAGGGAAGAACAAAUGUGUAAGUAACUGUGCACGUCUUGACGGUACCUAAUCAGAAAGCCACGGCUAACUACGUG
Molecule: ribosomal RNA, 497 nt
Filed under: uncultured bacterium
Lineage: Bacteria
Description: partial 16S ribosomal RNA
Rfam family: Bacterial small subunit ribosomal RNA
Source: RNAcentral